UGCGCCUCCAACUGAAAACAGCUAUGAGUAAUACAUUUCAUUGUUACUCGUUUUCUCGAAUUUGGAAUGGAACUUACAGAAUUUAGUUUAUGCAAUGCCAAAUCAGCUCCCCAUCCUUGUUCACCGUUCGGAUAUAUGAGUAUACUAUGUAUGUGUGACACCGAUCCAGCAUAACCAUUAUAGACAUUUAAUGCGGAUUUGGACAGGAAAAACGAAACCCUGAUUACUGAUAUAUGUAACGAAUUAUGAAAAAAACAUUUCAGUAUUGACGUCUAAGGUGGCACUGAAUUAGUACAUAAAGUAUAAUUUAAUUCAAAAAUCGGGUAAACUUGUAGUUUAUAAAUUAGAAAAAGUAUCGUUUGAAUGGUGGAAUUAUUUUAUACUAUAAACAAUUAUGAGUCGCUCUCCCAAAUGAAAUGUUUUACUUUCUAUUUUAAUCACGAGUUUUUACAUUGGGAUAUAACAACUUGAACAAUCCAGAAAUGGGGUUUGUCAUAUCAUUAAAAACGAAUAAAUCAAAAAAUCAA
Long non-coding RNA from Folsomia candida, 527 nucleotides. RefSeq lists it as uncharacterized. NCBI's taxonomy places the organism in Eukaryota, Metazoa, Arthropoda, Collembola, Entomobryomorpha, Isotomidae. The record is from RefSeq and is a predicted model, not a curated record. The transcript is spliced from 2 exons.